Molecule: non-coding RNA, 964 nt
Organism: Paramisgurnus dabryanus
Lineage: Eukaryota; Metazoa; Chordata; Actinopteri; Cypriniformes; Cobitidae
Source: RefSeq, a predicted model, not a curated record
GAUUGGGGCGGGGGCCCCCUGGUGGCCAGCGGGGCCCUAAGCAGCCGCUUGGUUCGCUUAUGCCUCGGGCCGGCCCUGUCUUACCUACAGGAUACACAAACAACAUCUGAACCAGAGAAGGCUUCAGUGGAAGCUGCAGGGCCUGCAGAAACUGUAGUGGAACCAGGGCCUCAACAACACGCAGCCACAUUGGAAGAAUCUGUGCCUUUGGUUGAGUCUGCAAGCAGUGCUGUAGCCGAAGGAUUCGAAGUGACUGAGUCAGCUUUAGCUGUUGAAGAGAAACAGAUUCCAGAAACAACAACAGAGGCCCCUGAGGUUCCUUCAGAGACAUUGGCAGAAUCAAGUCCGGCUCCUGAGCCCGUGCUUAUGUCAAAGGAAAUUGUUAUUGGUCAAGAUGAAUCCGUUGCACAAGUAGAAAUAGAAGCCAAAAAGAACUUUGCAGUGGACAAUGGCUUGACUUUGGACAACAACAAUAAAUGUCUGGGAGAAGUUGAAGUUGCAACUGAAAGUUGAAGUGGUUAUGGACCUAUACAUUCUGCUCAAACAUGGAACGACAAUUUUGCCAAGUGCCUUUUUUGUGCAGGUUCUUAGCUACAAAGUUAUGUUAAGGAUACGUGGCUGUUUUUCACUGUUUAAUGACAUUAUGUGCUUCUCAUUUCCAUAUGCAUGUACAAUAGAUUUGCAGAUGUUAUACAAUACAAACAGUAAAAUAGUGCACAUUUUUAUGUUUUUACUUUGAGGAUUGAAUAUUCGGUGUUGUUUAUGUUUCUGUUGGUUAAAUGAUUUUGGAGUGGAGAGUACCAUUUCAUUAGCCUGACGUUGUCAUACUCAAUUCUAGUCAGAAUUUGACUAGAUCUUCCCAUUUCUCAAAAUGUUGUGGGCGGGGCUAAGAUCGGCUGGCACCCAGGCUACCAUUUCAUCCAAUACAACCUGCAACUCUUCACCCAGCCCCGAACCAUGUGCC